CAUGGCCUCUUGCAACCCACAAAUAAGAGGUCCAACCUGCCCAGUGACAAUAAGUUUAACGGCCGCGGUAUUUUAACCGUGCUAAGGUAGCGUAAUCACUUGUCUUUUAAAUGAAGACCCGUAUGAAAGGUGUCACGAGGGCCCUCCUGUCUCCUACUUCAAGUCUAUGAAAUUGAUCUGCCCGUGCAGAAGCGGGCAUAACCACAUAAGACGAGAAGACCCUGUGGAGCUUAAGACUAUAACCAAUCAUGCCUAGUAACCUAUUCGCCAAACGACACAAAAGGUCAAAUAAGCUUAAUGACUAAUGGUUUACUGUCUUCGGUUGGGGCGACCAUGGGGGACAGAAAAGCCCCCAAGAAGAAGCAGGGGACCAAUUAUACCGAUCCCUAAGAGUCAAGAGCUACAACUCUAAACAACAGAAAUAUCUGACUAAUGAUGAUCCAGGCAAUAAGCCUGAUCAACGGACCAAGUUACCCCAGGGAUAACAGCGCAAUCCUUUCCCAGAGCCCAUAUCGCCGAAAGGGUUUACGACCUCGAUGUUGGAUCAGGACAUCCUGGUGGCGAAAAUUCUACCAAGGGUUCGUUUGUUCAACGAUUAAAGUCCUACGUGAU
Molecule: ribosomal RNA, 612 nt
Filed under: Petrocephalus degeni
Lineage: Eukaryota; Metazoa; Chordata; Actinopteri; Osteoglossiformes; Mormyridae
Description: partial 16S ribosomal RNA
Rfam family: Bacterial large subunit ribosomal RNA
Source: RNAcentral